AGGAGUUGACGUCUAAUUAAUUUUAAUUAAGAGGCUCAGGUGAAUGCAAAUGUAGGAUGGUGGUUUGUGGGCUGAGGGAGGGUGAUGAAAUCUUUACUUUAUAUUGUUUAUAAGUUAUGCCCUUAAGAUGUUUUAUGAAAAUAUGCAAUGCAAAAAGAGAGGAUAUUCAAUAUAAGUAAGAAGCUUUAAGGUUUAAUUAGUUUCUCUAUUUUAGUUAAGUAUUA
Molecule: long non-coding RNA, 224 nt
Filed under: Elaeis guineensis (African oil palm)
Lineage: Eukaryota; Viridiplantae; Streptophyta; Magnoliopsida; Arecales; Arecaceae
Description: long non-coding RNA (EGUI_LNC021528)
Source: RNAcentral